Molecule: small RNA, 913 nt
Filed under: Alteracholeplasma parvum
Lineage: Bacteria; Bacillati; Mycoplasmatota; Mollicutes; Acholeplasmatales; Acholeplasmataceae
Description: bacterial LSU rRNA
Rfam family: Bacterial large subunit ribosomal RNA (bases 456-913)
Source: RNAcentral
CGCCCGUCAAACCACGAAAGUCAGCAAUGCCCAAAGCCGGUGGCCUAACCGUAAGGAGGGAGCCGUUUAAGGUAGGGUUGAUGAUUGGGGUUAAGUCGUAACAAGGUAUCCCUACCGGAAGGUGGGGAUGGAUCACCUCCUUUCUAAGGAGAAAGGCAUUAAAUGCAAAUAACCAAUUACUCAUCAUAUUCAGUUCUGAGAGACUUAAAAACUCUCAUAUAUAUAAUAUUAGUGGAAGCACUUUUAAAUGGGCCUAUAGCUCAGGUGGUUAGAGCGCACGCCUGAUAAGCGUGAGGUCGGUGGUUCGAGUCCACUUAGGCCCACCAUUAUGGGGCUUUAGCUCAGCUGGGAGAGCGCCUGCCUUGCACGCAGGAGGUCAGCGGUUCGAUCCCGCUAAGCUCCACCAAUAGAGAUCUUUGAAAAGUAGAUAAUUUUCUGUCGAAAGAAAAAAAAUAGGUUAAGGAAGAAAGGGCGCACAGUGGAUGCCUAGGCACUAAUAGCCGAUGAAGGACGCAACUAACGGCGAAACGCCAUGGGGAGCAGUAAGUACGCGACGAUCCAUGGAUAUCCGAAUGGGGAAACCCGCCAUGUAGAAGACAUGGCAUCUGUUAAUAAACAGAGGGGAUACGCAGUGAACUGAAAUAUCUAAGUAACUGCAGGAAAAGAAAGUAAAUAACGAUUCUGCUAGUAGCGACGAGCGAACGCGGAAGAGCCCAAGAUACCAAAUACUAGUUACAAAACUUUAUGUGAGAAGAAUAACCUGGGAAGGUUAACCAAAGAAGGUGAAAGUCCUGUAAUCGAAGCAUAAAGACUAGGGUAUCUGAAGAGUACAGCGAGACACGAGGAAUCUUGUUGGAAGAUGCGAGGACCAUCUCGUAAGGCUAAAUACUACUUAGUGACCGAUAGUGAACCA